GCGAGAGUGAGAGAGCUCAGGCGUGCGCCCUGCUCCGGCCUCACACGUUAUCUGGGCCUGACACGUGACCGCGACGCCACGUGACGCGGGUCUCGCCUCCGACCCCCCGCCCGGUCUCCGGCCGGCGGAAGCGGAAGGCGGGCGGUGGGUGCGGCUGGUCACCUCGUUGAGGGGCCUCUGGGUCCCGCCUGGGGCUGCCGGAUGAAAAGAGGGGCUGGGACCGGACAUGCGGCUCUCCGCCGCGGGCCGAGGGUGGGAGUCCCACGGCGGCCGCCCCACGGGAGACGAGAGGGCGUUUCCGCAGGGACGCUGAUGCUAACGCGUCUCUCGGCCUCGGGGCCCGUGGAGAAUCCGGGCUGGGGGGUAGGAAGGAGGGGGAUGUGAACACGCAUACUGUUACCCCUCGUGCUGGAAAAACACACAAGGCACAGGAUGUAAAGCUAGACACAAUCUUGAUUGAAGGGGCUUCAGAGGGUUCGGUGGCUCCCGGCUGUCACCUCGUCCUGGAGGCCGUGGGGGACUGGGCGGCCUCUUCCCGGAAGGUUCAGAAAGGCCCCAAGCUGCCCAGGGAAGGAAAUCGCAGCCUCGCUGCUUCCAGAACCUUCCUGAAGUGCCUCUCACUCACUCCCCAGUUCCUGAUUUGCUUCUAGGCUCUGCCUGGUUCUUCUCUUUUCUCGACUGCUGCCCGCGCUCUGGCCACACGGGCCCUUUGCAGAGAGAGGUGACGCCCUCCUGCCCUGCUGCUUCGUUGAGCACUUCCAACCCCACCCCCUGGGGAAACGUGCCUCCAGUUCACCUUCAGUGCAGGUGUGUUGGUUACUACCUGUCAUAGGCUUUGAUUUUUGUGACUUUUUUUGUUGUUCUUACAUUUGUUUGCUUUUUGUAGAUUUUGUCUUCCUUGUUCUUUCUUCCUGUCCAGUUUCCCUUCCCCGCCACCUUCUAACACCAUCAGCUGAACAAGUCGUGACACUGAAGGAUUUCAAAUGGCAAAGAGUCUCAGCGGGAUCCCAUUUAAGAGAAGUGCCGUCUGUUGAAGUGUGCCGUGGGAAAGAGGAGGUGUUGGAUCUGCGGUCUCUGUGCUUCACUGUGAGGUCCUUUAUCAGCAACAGAAAACAUCUUUUUACAGCCAGUGUGCUCCCUGUGGCUCCAGCGAGGUCUGCACAUUGCCCUUGA
RNAcentral lists this long non-coding RNA (1173 nucleotides) under Phocoena sinus (vaquita). RNAcentral's name for it is "lncRNA (ENSPSNG00000020440.1)". The record is from RNAcentral. Lineage: Eukaryota; Metazoa; Chordata; Mammalia; Artiodactyla; Phocoenidae.